RNAcentral lists this unclassified non-coding RNA (345 nucleotides) under plant metagenome. RNAcentral describes it as "partial contains small subunit ribosomal RNA and internal transcribed spacer 1". The stretch from base 1 to 46 matches the Rfam family "Eukaryotic small subunit ribosomal RNA", at positions 1786 to 1831 of the family's 1831-position model. The record is from RNAcentral.
AAGUCGUAACAAGGUCUCCGUAGGUGAACCUGCGGAGGGAUCAUUAUCAACGUAAUAAUCCACGUAUACCAUUGUGAAAUGUAAACAAAAUAAUAACUUUGGAAAGAUUUUGAAACGAGGAAGCGACGUUGACGUCGUAGUAAUUUUUGGACCAGUUGCUUCCUCUAGACCGCAGUAGUUGGGCUGUGUGUCCGGCGAAACGAUCAGCGAAAUCUUUGCUAUCUGAAGUUUCUAAAACAAAUUACCUACUAAUUGAUUGACAAUUUUUAACCACUUUUGAAUUUUUGAACUAACGCUUUCAUACUCCAAUAAAACGGAGAUGAAAUUCAUUACGAAACAAAAGAA